UCUGUAACUCCUCCGGAGGAAAACUGCCGGUCCCAAACCCGGAUAAAGGAGGAGGGGUGGA
This 61-nucleotide non-coding RNA is filed under the name Schistosoma mansoni. The record is from RNAcentral. Lineage: Eukaryota; Metazoa; Platyhelminthes; Trematoda; Strigeidida; Schistosomatidae.